GCACACCAAGGAGCAAUCAAACCUAAAAGUUUAGGUACUGAGAUAAAUCUCUCUGAUGUCAUUACUGAUUUCGUUCCCCUCUCAACGGUUCAUGUCCAUGCAACCCAUAUAAGGAAGGAUAUAACAUCUACUUCGAGGAAAGGAAAUCCCUCUAAAUUAAGUACAUUUUCCUCUCCAUCCAUGACUGCUAGAAAUGUGAAAAAU
RNAcentral lists this long non-coding RNA (204 nucleotides) under Lathyrus oleraceus (garden pea). RNAcentral describes it as "Pisum sativum (pea) long non-coding RNA (PSAT_LNC028759)". Lineage: Eukaryota; Viridiplantae; Streptophyta; Magnoliopsida; Fabales; Fabaceae. The record is from RNAcentral.